AAAACUUUCAACAACGGAUCUCUUGGUUCUGGCAUCGAUGAAGAACGCAGCGAAAUGCGAUAAGUAAUGUGAAUCGCAGAAUUCAGUGAAUCAUCGAAUCUUUGAACGCACAUUGCACCCUCUGGAUUCCAGGGGGUAUGCCUGUCCGAGCGUCGUC
RNAcentral lists this ribosomal RNA (157 nucleotides) under Leotia lubrica. RNAcentral's name for it is "5.8S ribosomal RNA". It matches the Rfam family "5.8S ribosomal RNA". Rfam says of the family: 5.8S ribosomal RNA (5.8S rRNA) is a component of the large subunit of the eukaryotic ribosome. It is transcribed by RNA polymerase I as part of the 45S precursor that also contains 18S and 28S rRNA. Lineage: Eukaryota; Fungi; Ascomycota; Leotiomycetes; Leotiales; Leotiaceae. The record is from RNAcentral.